CAUUUAAGGGCUGACUGCCACUGGGGAUGGGUCUGUUUUUGGAGAUCCUUUCUUUUGGAGUUUUCUAUUGUGAGCCUAGGAUAUGGAAGAAGAGGGCUGUAUGUGUCUAUUCCCUUCCUCUGAUGAAAGGAGAACCAUCGGAAAAAUAUCUUGCAGACAGAAAUCAAUUUCCUGAAAUUUGGAGCUGGUGUUGGGACUACAGGAAGCUCAGAAGCAGCACCAAUCGCAUCUCCAAUCAACAAAGCAACCUGCUUCAUGGAAAUAGGGCAAUGAAAACAUCCAAAAGACUUCAUAUUUUAUCCACAUUUGUAAAUGAGGAAACAUGAAAGAAUUUGAGAGGCAUAUGGAUGAUCUGCAUGCAUGCAUACUCAUGUAUUUCACAUGCACAGAACAUAUACUUCAUAUGUUGACAUGGAAUGGCAUCUGCAAUCUGAAUUUGAUGCUUAUUGGUUGUUUUCACUCUUCAAAUUAACUGACUUGUGCAUUAAUCAAUACCAAAGAUGCCCAGGUAUUUCCCUACCACUUUGAAGAAAUCAUGCUUUCCACAAUCCCAUCUUUGAAUAUUUGUUUCUUUUCACUGCAAUGUCCUGUGUUUUAUCACUUAAAUGCAUGUGCUGUAACAAAAUACGUAUUUUCUAAAAAACACCUUCAUCCUUAAUCAGAACUGCUAUAAUUUCUGUUGCAAGAAACAGAGAUAAAUCCUUCUGAAGUUAUUUUAUAGUGUUCUAUUGAUGGUUGGACUAGAUAGUCUUAUUGGUCUUUCCAACCUUAAUGAUUCUAUGAUUCUACCAUUCCGUCCUCUCUCAUCUGACUCCAUGCUGAAGAGACUCUGACUGAUUUAUCUCUUCUCCCGUGGAAACCACCUCAUAUUCUUGAUGAUCUUACUGCCUUUCUCUUCUAUAGUUCUAGAUGACAGAUUUAUGGAAAUGAGAAGAACUUGAAAUGAAAGCAGUGCUCCAAAUGUGGAUUUCUCACAGAUUCUAUGCAGUAGUUUGUAGCGCUGUUUGACUAUGCUGUUGGGUGGUCUAUUUCUCUUGUUGUAAUUUCUCAUGUUUAUCAUUGCAAAUCUUCUUCGAUAACAUUUGUCCAAACUACCCAAACUGUUCCUUCAGUAACCAGAUCAGUUCUUAGCCCUUACUAAGACAUGAUUCCUAUUUCUGGUGUGCUUGGAAAAAAAGUACUUUAUUGUUUUGUUUGUUACCUUGCCUUUAUAUCUAACCAUACCACAAUUUACACUUCACUUCCACCUUCCUUCUACAGAUUUCACUCCUACAAUUUAAUGACUAUGUUUUUAAUUCCCGAGAGUCUCAUUUACUCCUGUUCAGCAAUGCUAGCUUCUUUUUCCAAGUGUAGAAGUAGAAUGACACUCUUUUUAAUUGAUUUAGAUUUACAUUGUUACUAAGCAUCACACAGAAACGUGCUGCAAGACUCCAUGAUACCAUUAAGCAUUUUAGUCUACAACUAAUCCUUUUACUUAACCUUUCAAACUGAGAAACACUGUGGUGGAUAUUCUGCAUGGCAUCUCUUUAUUAGAGCAGAACUCUUGCAUAUCCUCACUGGUCUUCCCAUCACUGUAUGCUGUGUGUGUACUUGCAGUGCCUCAGUAGCAUUGUAAUACUACGUAAUUAGUUUGUCCCUUCAGAGAAGAUCAGAAGGACAAACACUGAAUGUAUAAAUAAAACUGUAUAAGUAUCAGAGCUGCAUACUCACAACAAUGUACUUAGAAAAGAGAUGCUGCAACUGAAAAUCAUUCUUUCCUCAGCAGUGCAUAUUAAAAGAUCUGCCUGCCAGAAAUCUGUUUCUCCUCAAAAGGACUGGUCAACAUAUUCACCCUCUCCUAAUGCUGUCUGUUUCCUCCUUUCUGCUUUGCUUCCAAGACUUACUGUUCCUUUAUGAGAAUUCCAUGGCAGCACUGAACUCAGUGGAAACUGCCACAGGGAUGGCAGCCCCUGAAAGUUAUGGGCAUGCUGAUGCAAAAUGUUGCUACUGAAGAAUCAUAAAGAUUGGAAAAGACCUCUAAGAUCAUCUAGUCCAACCAUCAACUUGGUACUGAACAUAAAAAAUAACUUCAGAAGUUAUAACUACCAUGCCACUAAACCAUGUCCUUCAGUGCCACAUCUACACAUUUCUUGAACAAUUACAGGAACUCUGCCAUUUCCCUGGGCAGACUGCUUCAAGACUCCAUCACUCUUUCUGAUAAUAAAUUUUUCCUAAUAUCCAACCUGAACCUCCCCUUAUGUAACUAAAGGCCAUAAUCUCUCGUCCUUUUGCUGUUACCUCAAAGAAGCCACUUAAAACAUAAUAUAUUUUAAUGGUGAAGGUAUUUUUAUCUAAUUUCACAUAAAACUGAGAACAGAAUAAAAACAAAGAUUGAGUAAAUAUAUACAACAUAUAGAAUAAAAUAUGAGUCUAAAUAAUGCAGCUGAAAUGCACCAUUGCUCCUCACCCACAGAACAUAGUAACAGUACAAAGUUAGCAGAGAAAAAUCAGAAUUCAUUUUAAGGAGAAGAAUCAAGCUGAGAGAGGUAUCUUUAACCAUUUAGAAACAAAAAAUAGGACUUUUUUUUUAAUUUUAAGUCAAGUGAAAUCAGUCACAUUUAAGCUGUUGAGCUCUAGCCCUGCUUUUUCUAUCAGUCACUAUGUUUUGCAUUUCCCUCUUUAUUUUCUGUCAUACAAUCUCCUGUGACUAUGGAAACAUCCAGUUCCUAUCAUCUGUAUUUAUGUGCUAAGAUAUUACAGCUAGAAACAUACUGACUUACUCAAUUUUGAGUGGAAGUAUUUUGGAAAAUAACCCCUUAAAAUGUCACACCAAAAAAGCUUUAAAAGUUUUUGCCAUUGACUUCAAAGGGUACACAGAAUUUAUGGGCAGAAAGUGUGUCAUAAGCAUGAUAAAAAUAAAUGUCUUCUUAGUCUAAAAAAUUCUACUUUUUU
This is a long non-coding RNA of Meleagris gallopavo (turkey), 2931 nucleotides long. RefSeq lists it as uncharacterized. The record is from RefSeq and is a predicted model, not a curated record. Lineage: Eukaryota; Metazoa; Chordata; Aves; Galliformes; Phasianidae.